RNAcentral lists this RNase P RNA (245 nucleotides) under Thermoprotei archaeon. Its description in RNAcentral is "partial RNase P RNA component". It matches the Rfam family "Archaeal RNase P", at positions 49 to 288 of the family's 288-position model. Rfam says of the family: Ribonuclease P (RNase P) is a ubiquitous endoribonuclease, found in archaea, bacteria and eukarya as well as chloroplasts and mitochondria. Its best characterised activity is the generation of mature 5'-ends of tRNAs by cleaving the 5'-leader elements of precursor-tRNAs. Lineage: Archaea; Thermoproteati; Thermoproteota; Thermoprotei. The record is from RNAcentral.
CUCCUUGGGGCUCCACGGCUCCGGCGACGGAGCGAGGCGAAAGCCUCGGCAACGGCUCAGAGACGAGACCCCCCUUGGCCUAGUGUGGAUGAAACGGUUGAACCGUGGACGAGGCCAAGGGGAGGCUGAAACGGCCGUCCCGUGGGGAGCAAGGCCAAGCAGGGCCGAUGAGAAGCCCCAUGAGGCCCGGGUGGGCCGCUAAGUCGAAUCCCGCUUAAACUGAAGGUGGGCUACGACCCGCUUAC